Molecule: long non-coding RNA, 243 nt
Organism: Sphaeramia orbicularis (orbiculate cardinalfish)
Lineage: Eukaryota; Metazoa; Chordata; Actinopteri; Kurtiformes; Apogonidae
Exons: 3
Source: RefSeq, a predicted model, not a curated record
UCCAAUAACCGAAGGGUUGGCGGUUCGAAUCCCACUCUGUCCUUGCUGUUUUGUCCUUGGGCAAGACACUUCACCCACCUUGCCUCCACUGUCGCUCACACUGGUGUAUGAAUGCUAAUGAAUGCUCGGUGGUGGUCGGAGUAGCCGUUUGGCAUGAAUUGGCAGCCACGCUUCUGUCAGCCUUCCCCAGGGCAGCUGUGGCUACAAAUGUAGUUUACCACCACCAGAGUGUGCAUGUGAGAG